Molecule: small nucleolar RNA, 101 nt
Organism: Lemur catta (Ring-tailed lemur)
Lineage: Eukaryota; Metazoa; Chordata; Mammalia; Primates; Lemuridae
Product: small nucleolar RNA U13
Exons: 1
Source: RefSeq, a predicted model, not a curated record
AUCCCUUUGUCGUUCAUCAGUAUGAUGAUUGGGUUUUCAUGCACCUAUGUGAGAUAUGGCUCCCUCAUACCUUGUGACAUCAACACAUUACCUAUCUGACA